RNAcentral lists this ribosomal RNA (249 nucleotides) under Triticum aestivum (bread wheat). RNAcentral's name for it is "partial small subunit ribosomal RNA". The record is from RNAcentral. Lineage: Eukaryota; Viridiplantae; Streptophyta; Magnoliopsida; Poales; Poaceae.
AUGAAAACAACGUCGUGGAGGUCGAACCCGAGGCCGUGUGGUCGUGUGUGUGGAGUCAGGGGACGGAGAGAUACUUGGCGUUGCUCUCCAGAGUGGCUGAGGGGUCGGAGGCGCGGCGACGAGCUACUCCGAGCUGGAGCUCAAGCUCGGCCGGAGCAUGGUGGGCAGGGCGAUGGCGUGGCGUGGCUAGCCUUACCUGGCGGCGGCGAGGGAAGGAGAGGAUGGGGAUCGGUCGAGGAGGAACCCUAG